UGUGUUCACAGGUCUCUAUGGAUACAGUUUCUUCGGAAAUUGUAAUUCGAAUCUCUCCGGUGAUGUGUGCGGGAUGAAGAUGCUUGAAAACACAUAAUUCCUAAUAGGGCCCUGAGGUUUCCCCAGUAGGAAUGGAGACGGCAGCAGGUUCGGAGGAGGGGGCGGCGACCGGCGACUGGAAGGAGCCCCACUGGGUGGCCACACUCUUCCCCCCCCGCUUCACGGCGCUGGACCUGUUGGGGGAGACCCCCCGCCUGCUGUCCGAGAGGCUGGCCUGCCAGAGGGUCCGCAGGAGACAGGAGAUCUA
Non-coding RNA from Lepisosteus oculatus (spotted gar), 307 nucleotides. The record is from RefSeq and is a predicted model, not a curated record. Lineage: Eukaryota; Metazoa; Chordata; Actinopteri; Semionotiformes; Lepisosteidae.